UGCGUAGGCGGAUUUAUAAGUCAGUGGUGAAAUCCUACAGCUUAACUGUAGAACUGCCAUUGAUACUGUAGAUCUUGAGUACGGUUGAGGUGGGCGGAAUGUGUCAUGUAGCGGUGAAAUGCUUAGAUAUGACACAGAACACCAAUUGCGAAGGCAGCUCGCUAAACCGUAACUGACGCUGAGGCACGAAGGCGUGGGGAGCGAACAGGAUUAGAUACCCUGGUAGUCC
RNAcentral lists this ribosomal RNA (229 nucleotides) under uncultured bacterium. RNAcentral describes it as "partial 16S ribosomal RNA". It matches the Rfam family "Bacterial small subunit ribosomal RNA", at positions 568 to 796 of the family's 1533-position model. The record is from RNAcentral.